GUUUUCCAUGGCAUAAAAGAUCCCACCAAUGGGAGCACAGUAUGCAGGGGCAUCUGAAUGGGAGCUGAUCUUGGAGAAGGAUAAAGAAGUUCUUGUUUCAAGGGGGCCAAAGAAGAUGUGGAGCAUAGACAAUGGAGAAGUUUUUGUUAAGAAACAGACAAAAUGUUUUCUGUCCUGAAGAAGGAAGAGGAGGAUAAAGAAGUAGCAGAGGACAACAUGGAAGGAAAACAGAACAAAAGCAAGUUUCACAGUACUCUGCAGUGUUCUACUCCUGUAAGCUUACAGCAGUCACUGCUGGAAUCAGGAACAGAAGAAUGUGGUCAUGCAUGUUGAUAUUCAGAUUGGACCUAAUGCAGAACAAACUCUUCUGGAGAAAAAUCACCUCCUCUCCUGUUAGCCAUGCCUUACUUCCUGAUGCAGAAAAGGAUUUGGAGGCUCAGAGUGGGAAUUGGCAUCUUCACAAUGAGCAGAGCACCAGCAUUACACUAAUGAGCUGCCUGGCAUAUUCACCUGUGUACCACUCCACUGAAGCCCUUCUCUUUCAUGGUAUGCUGUGCAGAGUGAAGGCAGAGGCAUUGAGGCAGCUCAGGUGGAUGAAAGCCCCCUCAGACUUCGCUGAACAUGACAUAGCCUCCUUCCAUUCUUUCACACCUGCAAGCAAAUGUCUUGAGCCAUGUGGACACAGUCAGGUGAUCCUUGCCUUAGAAGAUCUUCUUACACAUGCUGACACCAAGGCUGCAGAGCAAGUCUUUCCUGAUUUCAUGGUACAGAUGUAAAGGCUGCUUCAUGCAAGUCUGUCCGUUAAACACUUGAUGCCCCACUCACUGCUGGAGCUGCUCUGAAGUCUUCAUAGGAGAUAAAACCAAACAAUGCCUCAAAGUGCUUUUAGAAGAUGCAGAUCCACUACAGCUCUUUCCUUUUCUAGGGAUAGGUUUUACUGGAAACGUUUGGCAGACAGUCAGAAGAUGGUGAGUACCAACAGGUUUCACUGCUGCAUUCACUUUGCUGGGAGAUGCCAUGGAAUGUAAACUUCUCUAAUGACAGCUCCUUCAAACCCUUUUCAGUCUUGUCAAGAUUCCUUAUUAAUAGCAGAGAAGUAAUCUUAGUCCUUUCAGUGGCAGCAAUUCUCUAGGCAACUGCUGAAUUUGUAAGAAUACAGAUGGUGCCUGCCAUUUCUUUUUUUUUCAGUACCACACUGCAUUCCUCACCUGACAUGUGGAACUUGUUUGCUACCAUAAUGCGUCAGCUGCAGACACUUUUCUUAGAGGUAAAAGCAGUUUUGCUUGCAUUUUUCUUGGCAUCAUUGAAUUUUGCCCACCUGCAGGCAAGAUUAAUUUUUUUUCCCCUUCUGAGAUAGCAGAGCUCGUGAUGGUGAUCUGAUUUGAAACUUGUUGGCACUAUGCCUUUUCCUCUCUGCCUCUGUGAACUGAUAGAGCUAAGCAUCGCUCUCCUUGUAAACAGCAAAAAAAAAAAACCAAAAA
Long non-coding RNA from Numida meleagris (helmeted guineafowl), 1481 nucleotides. NCBI's taxonomy places the organism in Eukaryota, Metazoa, Chordata, Aves, Galliformes, Numididae. The record is from Ensembl.